This 364-nucleotide long non-coding RNA is filed under the name Chinchilla lanigera (long-tailed chinchilla). RNAcentral's name for it is "lncRNA (ENSCLAG00000028341.1)". The record is from RNAcentral. Lineage: Eukaryota; Metazoa; Chordata; Mammalia; Rodentia; Chinchillidae.
GGAAGCUCCCAGCGAGAGAAAUACCUAGGCAACAGAGCAUUUUAAAGGUCCAGUUCCCCGCCAAAAGGAUGAGCAGCAAAAAUGACGGUGCUGGACAAACAAGGUGUGCUAUACCAGAAAAAGACAUUGCGGCUCCAGAAAUAAGAUGAGCACAACUACACAAAAAAAGGAUGUGCUACACCUGAUCGCGGUCCCUGCUGGAGCUGCACCCGAGUCUGGGCUCGACUGAGCAGGAAGGUCCAGUUGGGGAUCCAGAGAAAGAAGCCACAGCUCACACUGAAUCCAAACUGCACCCCCAGCCCCAUUUCUGUCCGGUACACAAGGUACGUAUGGAACGCGCCUUUCUCUCUGUUUUUCUGUGGCU